CAUGCAAGUCGAGCGAGCGGAACAACAGAUUACUUCGGUAAUGACGUUGGGAAAGCGAGCGGCGGAUGGGUGAGUAACACGUGGGGAACCUGCCCCUAAGUCUGGGAUACCAUUUGGAAACAGGUGCUAAUACCGGAUAAUAAAGCAGAUCGCAUGAUCAGCUUUUGAAAGGCGGCGUAAGCUGUCGCUAAGGGAUGGCCCCGCGGUGCAUUAGCUAGUUGGUAAGGUAACGGCUUACCAAGGCGACGAUGCAUAGCCGAGUUGAGAGACUGAUCGGCCACAUUGGGACUGAGACACGGCCCAAACUCCUACGGGAGGCAGCAGUAGGGAAUCUUCCACAAUGGACGCAAGUCUGAUGGAGCAACGCCGCGUGAGUGAAGAAGGUUUUCGGAUCGUAAAGCUCUGUUGUUGGUGAAGAAGGAUAGAGGUAGUAACUGGCCUUUAUUUGACGGUAAUCAACCAGAAAGUCACGGCUAACUACGUGCCAGCAGCCGCGGUAAUACGUAGGUGGCAAGCGUUGUCCGGAUUUAUUGGGCGUAAAGCGAGCGCAGGCCGGAAAAAUAAGUCUAAUGUGA
RNAcentral lists this ribosomal RNA (575 nucleotides) under uncultured Bacilli bacterium. RNAcentral describes it as "bacterial SSU rRNA". It matches the Rfam family "Bacterial small subunit ribosomal RNA", at positions 54 to 597 of the family's 1533-position model. Lineage: Bacteria; Bacillati; Bacillota; Bacilli. The record is from RNAcentral.